This 1797-nucleotide long non-coding RNA is filed under the name Oncorhynchus mykiss (rainbow trout). RNAcentral's name for it is "lncRNA (ENSOMYG00000051925.1)". The record is from RNAcentral. Lineage: Eukaryota; Metazoa; Chordata; Actinopteri; Salmoniformes; Salmonidae.
CUCAGCUCACUGCCUCACACCCAGGGGGCCAGGGGCCUCCUGGGCUGCAAGGGUGGACAUAAAAACACUUGAACACUUAGAAGCCUUAAUUGAAGUGCACUAAAGCUUUUGAUUGAGCUCCAGAGGAAACUAAACCCCUUUGUUGAAACAAAAAGGAAAAGACGAGAAACUUUCAAACUAAGGAGCUUUUGUUUGGCCUUUCUUUAGCUGUGAUGAUUGAAUCCCUCUUGCUUUGUUGUUGUUUGUUUAGUUGGAUCCCCAUUUAGCUUUCAGCAGCUACUCUUCCUGGGGUCCACAAAAACACGACAAGUAACAAAACACUGAUACACAAGGACAGUCACACGAGUUAAAAUACAGGGAUGUACAAACAAUACAUCUAAAAGAUGUGUGUGUGUGUUAGAGUGUGUGUCUCUUAGUGUGUCUGUGUUAGUCUGUGUGUCUGUGUGUCUGUGUGCUAGUGUGUCUGUGUGUCAGUGUGUCUGUGUGCUAGUGUGUCUGUGUGUCUGUGUGCUAGUGUGUCUGUGUGUCAGUGUGUCUGUUAGUGUGUCUGUGUGUUAGUGUGUCUGUUAGUGUGUCUGUGUGUUAGUGUGUCUGUAUUAGAGUGUGUCUGCGUGUUAGUGUGACUGUAUUAGUGUGUCUGUAUUAGAGUGUGUCUGUGUGUUAGUGUGUCUGUGUUAAUGUGUCUGUAUUAGAGUGUGUCUGUGUGUUAGUGUGUCUGUGUUAGUGUGUCUGUGUUAGUGUGUCUAUGUUUGUGUGUUAGUGUGUUAGUGUGUUAAUGUGUGUGUGUGUGUGUGUGUGUCUAUCUGUGUGUGUGUGUGUGUGUGUGUGUGUGUCUAUCUGUGUGUGUGUGUGUGUGUCACCUCACAGUCCCCUCUGUUCCAUGAGAUGUUGUUUCAUCUAUUUUUUUAAGGUCAUUUUUCUGUUUGCUGAGUAACUGUAAAUGGAAGGGAGUUCCAUGGGACCACGGCUCUGUAUAAUACUGUGAGUUGUACCACGGCCCUGUAUAAUACUGUGAGUUGUAUCACGGCUCUGUAUAAUACUGUGAGUUGUACCACGGCUCUGUAUAAUACUGUGAGUUGUACCACGGCUCUGUAUAAUACUGUGAGUUGUACCACGGCUCUGUAUAAUACUGUGAGUUGUACCACGGCUCUGUAUAAUACUGUGAGUUGUACCACGGCUCUGUAUAAUACUGUGAGUUGUAUCACGGCUCUGUAUAAUACUGUGAGUUGUACCACGGCUCUGUAUAAUACUGUGAGUUGUACCACGGCUCUGUAUAAUACUGUGAGUUGUACCACGGCUCUGUAUAAUACUGUGAGUUGUACCACGGCUCUGUAUAAUACUGUGAGUUGUACCACGGCUCUGUAUAAUACUGUGAGUUGUACCACGGCUCUGUAUAAUACUGUGAGUUGUACCACGGCUCUGUAUAAUACUGUGAGUUGUACCACGGCUCUGUAUAAUACUGUGAGUUGUACCACGGCUCUGUAUAAUACUGUGAGUUGUAUCACGGCUCUGUAUAAUACUGUGAGUUGUACCACGGCUCUGUAUAAUACUGUGAGUUGUACCACGGCUCUGUAUAAUACUGUGAGUUGUACCACGGCUCUGUAUAAUACUGUGAGUUGUACCACGGCUCUGUAUAAUACUGUGAGUUGUACCACGGCUCUGUAUAAUACUGUGAGUUGUACCACGGCUCUGUAUAAUACUGUGAGUUGUACCACGGCUCUGUAUAAUACUGUGAGUUGUACCACGGCUCUGUAUAAUACUGUGAGUUGUACCACGGCUCUGUAUAUAAUACUGUGA